Molecule: long non-coding RNA, 547 nt
Organism: Beta vulgaris subsp. vulgaris (sugar beet)
Lineage: Eukaryota; Viridiplantae; Streptophyta; Magnoliopsida; Caryophyllales; Amaranthaceae
Exons: 2
Source: RefSeq, a predicted model, not a curated record
UUAAAAGAGUUCGUAUUGUGUCGGACGAGUCCGACACAAUAUUCUCGUCGGACCACUUCAGUUAGAAGCACUUGUGCUUCAGUUAGACUUACUUGGGUUUCAGUUGGUCUUUAUUUUUUUUUUUUCAGGUAGUCUUCAUUUUUUUUCAAGUAGUCUUCUUUUUUUUUUCAGUUGGUUCUUGUGCUUCAGUUAGACUUACUUGGGUUUCAGUUGGUCUUUAUUUUUUUUCAGGUAGUCUUCAUUUUCGUUCAGGUAGUCUUCAUUUGUUUUCAGGUAGUCUUCAUUUUUUUUCAGGUUGUCUUCAUUUUUUUUUCAGUUAGUCUUCUUUUUUUCAGUUGGUUCUUGUGCUUCAGUUAGACUUACUUGGGUUUCAGUUGGUCUUUAUUUUUUUUCAGGUAGUCUUCAUUUUUUUUCAGGUAGACUUACCAUAUCAAGUAUCAUGGAUUCUUAGUUUUAUUAUUCUUUCAUGUAACACUAACCUCUGCUUUGUUGUUGUUGUGAUUGUGGUUGCUUCCUAAGCCGUCUGAUCUAGAAUCAGAAAAGCUGA